GGGAUCGAACUCGGGAAUUUGAGCUUGCCAGGCAGGCGCGGUGCCACGGAGCUAAAUCUCCGACCCGUAGAGGCCUUUCUAAAAGAAGAGCGUCGUAUCCGGAAGUUUUCCAGGAGUGCUCCAUAGCCGGAACAGUGGAUCCAGGAAUCUGGGUCUCGCUCCGUUGUUUCUGGGUCUUGAGAAAGGAAGUGCAGCCCUCUGGCUCCUCACUGUUGCUUCUCUAGUUUUCUAGCUCCUUUUAGAAAAUUGAGUUUGGAUGCAACAUGUCAAGACAAUCCUUUAAGAAGUGUGGCUGUAAAGGAAAAGAGAAAGGUGUUCCUGAAAGAUUAACAAGGAAGAAGAUGCCCUGGAAAAUGCAUUUCUGAGACAUCUACAUUUGCUGACUCAGACCCUUUCCUAUUUCCUCAAUAUAAAGACGCCAGCUUCUCCCCGUGACAGAGCAAUUCCUCCCUUGGGAACUUACCCACCAUCCCUCUUGACAUUGUUUUCUGAUCUAAGUAAACUCUUGCCUUUAUUUUUAUUCUAGUCUUGGUAAAUUCUUUUACUGCUCACAUCACCAGUAAUGCUGUCUUGCAGGGCAGUAGUGAGGAAGAGAUUAAAGAUACUGCCAAAAAAGAGGAUAACUGACUGAUUACCUAAAGGAACAGGAGGAGAUGGGAUCCAUAGACCAGGUCCAUAAAUUACCUUAGAUUGAAGAUAGAACCAGGAAAGAGGAUGUCAAAGUCGAUAUAGCCCAUUAAAUACUUGGGGAAUUAUUGUGGGUUACCAUAUCCCAUUCCAUACUUUUCUAAUGACAUUAGGAUAAUGGUAGCCAGCUGUGCAUGUCAGUAGCUGCACCUAAGGGAUACAAGCAGUACUUUUUUUUUUUGGUACCGGGGAUCGAACUCUGGUCCUUGCACUUGUGAGGCAAGCAGUGAAACCACUGAGC
RNAcentral lists this long non-coding RNA (928 nucleotides) under Heterocephalus glaber (naked mole-rat). Its description in RNAcentral is "lncRNA (ENSHGLG00100043750.1)". The record is from RNAcentral. Lineage: Eukaryota; Metazoa; Chordata; Mammalia; Rodentia; Bathyergidae.